This 274-nucleotide ribosomal RNA is filed under the name uncultured bacterium. Its description in RNAcentral is "partial 16S ribosomal RNA". It matches the Rfam family "Bacterial small subunit ribosomal RNA", at positions 84 to 354 of the family's 1533-position model. The record is from RNAcentral.
CCCGCCGGCGACCGGCGCACGGGUGAGUAACACGUAUGAAACCUGCCCGUAGCAGGGGGAUAAGCGGAAGAAAUUCCGUCUAAUACCGCGUAACAACCCGAGGAGGCAUCUCUGUGGGUUUAAAGGAAGCGAUUCCGGCUACGGAUGGUCAUGCGUCGCAUUAGCUUGUUGGCGGGGUAACGGCCCACCAAGGCGACGAUGCGUAGGGGUUCUGAGAGGAAGGUCCCCCACACUGGUACUGAGACACGGACCAGACUCCUACGGAAGGCAGCAG